This 530-nucleotide ribosomal RNA is filed under the name uncultured bacterium. RNAcentral describes it as "bacterial SSU rRNA". It matches the Rfam family "Bacterial small subunit ribosomal RNA", at positions 8 to 526 of the family's 1533-position model. The record is from RNAcentral.
AGAGUUUGAUCCUGGCUCAGAUUGAACGCUGGCGGCAUGCCUUACACAUGCAAGUCGAACGGCAGCAUGACGUGUAGCAAUACACGUUGAUGGCGAGUGGCGAACGGGUGAGUAAUAUAUCGGAACGUGCCCUGUAGCGGGGGAUAGCCCGGCGAAAGCCGGAUUAAUACCGCAUACGCUCUACGGAGGAAAGCGGGGGUCGCAAGACCUCGCACUAUAGGAGCGGCCGAUAUCGGAUUAGCUAGUUGGCGGGGUAAAAGCCCACCAAGGCGACGAUCCGUAGCUGGUCUGAGAGGAUGAUCAGCCACACUGGAACUGAGACACGGUCCAGACUCCUACGGGAGGCAGCAGUGGGGAAUUUUGGACAAUGGGCGCAAGCCUGAUCCAGCCAUGCCGCGUGAGUGAAGAAGGCCUUCGGGUUGUAAAGCUCUUUCGGCAGGAACGAAAUGGUUCGUGCUAACACCACGGACUGAUGACGGUACCUGAAGAAGAAGCACCGGCUAACUACGUGCCAGCAGCCGCGGUAAUAC